GACGAACGCUGGCGGCGUGCUUAACACAUGCAAGUCGAACGGAAAGGCCCUGCUUUUGUGGGGUGCUCGAGUGGCGAACGGGUGAGUAACACGUGAGUAACCUGCCCUUGACUUUGGGAUAACUUCAGGAAACUGGGGCUAAUACCGGAUAGGAGCUCCUGCUGCAUGGUGGGGGUUGGAAAGUUUCGGCGGUUGGGGAUGGACUCGCGGCUUAUCAGCUUGUUGGUGGGGUAGUGGCUUACCAAGGCUUAGACGGGUAGCCGGCCUGAGAGGGUGACCGGCCACAUUGGGACUGAGAUACGGCCCAGACUCCUACGGGAGGCAGCAGUGGGGAAUAUUGCACAAUGGGCGGAAGCCUGAUGCAGCAACGCCGCGUGCGGGAUGACGGCCUUCGGGUUGUAAACCGCUUUCGCCUGUGACGAAGCGUGAGUGACGGUAAUGGGUAAAGAAGCACCGGCUAACUACGUG
RNAcentral lists this ribosomal RNA (468 nucleotides) under uncultured bacterium. RNAcentral describes it as "partial 16S ribosomal RNA". It matches the Rfam family "Bacterial small subunit ribosomal RNA", at positions 28 to 507 of the family's 1533-position model. The record is from RNAcentral.